RNAcentral lists this ribosomal RNA (1126 nucleotides) under marine bacterium BL10_021. Its description in RNAcentral is "bacterial SSU rRNA". It matches the Rfam family "Bacterial small subunit ribosomal RNA", at positions 67 to 1202 of the family's 1533-position model. The record is from RNAcentral.
CGGUGAAAGCAGAGCUUGCUCUGUGGAUCAGUGGCGAACGGGUGACUAUACGUGAGCAAUCUGCCCCUGACUCUGGGAUAAGCGCUGGAAACGGCGUCUAAUACCGGAUACGAGCUGCGAAGGCAUCUUCAGCAGCUGGAAAGAAUUUCGGUCAGGGAUGAGCUCGCGGCCUAUCAGCUUGUUGGUGAGGUAACGGCUCACCAAGGCGUCGACGGGUAGCCGGCCUGAGAGGGUGACCGGCCACACUGGGACUGAGACACGGCCCAGACUCCUACGGGAGGCAGCAGUGGGGAAUAUUGCACAAUGGGCGAAAGCCUGAUGCAGCAACGCCGCGUGAGGGACGACGGCCUUCGGGUUGUAAACCUCUUUUAGCAGGAAAGAAGCGAAAGUGACGGUACCUGCAGAAAAAGCGCCGGCUAACUACGUGCCAGCAGCCGCGGUAAUACGUAGGGCGCAAGCGUUAUCCGGAAUUAUUGGGCGUAAAGAGCUCGUAGGCGGUCUGUCGCGUCUGCUGUGAAAACCCGAGGCUCAACCUCGGGCCUGCAGUGGGUACGGGCAGACUAGAGUGCGGUAGGGGAGAUUGGAAUUCCUGGUGUAGCGGUGGAAUGCGCAGAUAUCAGGAGGAACACCGAUGGCGAAGGCAGAUCUCUGGGCCGUAACUGACGCUGAGGAGCGAAAGGGUGGGGAGCAAACAGGCUUAGAUACCCUGGUAGUCCACCCCGUAAACGUUGGGAACUAGUUGUGGGGUCCAUUCCACGGAUUCCGUGACGCAGCUAACGCAUUAAGUUCCCCGCCUGGGGAGUACGGCCGCAAGGCUAAAACUCAAAGGAAUUGACGGGGACCCGCACAAGCGGCGGAGCAUGCGGAUUAAUUCGAUGCAACGCGAAGAACCUUACCAAGGCUUGACAUAUACGAGAACGGGCCAGAAAUGGUCAACUCUUUGGACACUCGUAAACAGGUGGUGCAUGGUUGUCGUCAGCUCGUGUCGUGAGAUGUUUGGGUUAAGUCCCGCAACGAGCGCAACCCUCGUUCUAUGUUGCCAGCACGUAAUGGUGGGAACUCAUGGGAUACUGCCGGGGUCAACUCGGAGGAAAGGGGGGGGAUGACGUCAAAUCAUCAUGCCCCU